UUAAUCUUAUUUUUUAUUUUUAAAAUUUUUUUAAUUAUUACCAGCGGACAACCCGCCGGUAAUAAGUAGUACCGGAGACCGAUUUCAAAUUAAUUUAAUACCGGCGGGAUCCCACCGAUAAUACUUAAUACCGGCGGGUUAAUACCGGCGGAUCCGCCGGUAAUAGUUAUAACCGGCGGGUUAAUACCGGCGGACCCGCCGGUAAUAUCGUAGUACCAGCGGGUUAAUACCGGCGGACCCGCCGGUGAUGUCUUAUUACUGGCAGGUUAAUACCGGCGGACCCGCCGGUGAUGUCUUAUUACCGGCGGAGACCCGCCGGUAAUAAUAUUAUAUAGUCUCUCUUGGCAUUUUUUCCCCAUUCGUCUCCCUCACCCGUUUUCUCUCCUUCUCCAUUUUCAGUUUAAUUUUACAGUUCGUUCCCUCUUUCUCUCUUUCGCCAUUUUCAUACUUAUUUUUCAUUUUUAAUUUUUCCAGUAAGAUGUCGUUUAUAUAUAUAUAUAUACUUUGUUUCAGGUGGCUUGUGACAACUUGGGUUGAGUUUCACUUCGAUAAAACUUGGCUGUUUUCUCGACUUUCGUUUACAGUGUUGGGUAGUAUUUCUAUUGCCAUUUUGGUGGAAGAAGACAAACAAGUAUGUGCUGUUCUAUUUAAUAACUGAUUAUUGUGUUCUAUAUAUUAUUGUGUUCUUUAUUAUUUACUAAGAAAACUGAGACUUAUUGUAAAACAUUCUGAAUUGAAUAACAAUUUCUUCAGACUUAUUAUAAUUUAUCAAUUUUAUUUCAUUUUCAAGUGUUUACUUUAUAAAUUCAAAUGGACACUCUUGCUUCAUUAGUCA
Molecule: long non-coding RNA, 835 nt
Organism: Humulus lupulus (European hop)
Lineage: Eukaryota; Viridiplantae; Streptophyta; Magnoliopsida; Rosales; Cannabaceae
Exons: 2
Source: RefSeq, a predicted model, not a curated record